This 410-nucleotide ribosomal RNA is filed under the name uncultured microorganism. RNAcentral's name for it is "bacterial SSU rRNA". It matches the Rfam family "Bacterial small subunit ribosomal RNA", at positions 509 to 917 of the family's 1533-position model. The record is from RNAcentral.
CAGCAGCCGCGGUAAUACGUAGGUGGCAAGCGUUGUCCGGAAUUAUUGGGCGUAAAGCGCGCGCAGGCGGUCCUUUAAGUCUGAUGUGAAAGCCCACGGCUCAACCGUGGAGGGUCAUUGGAAACUGGGGGACUUGAGUGCAGAAGAGGAAAGUGGAAUUCCACGUGUAGCGGUGAAAUGCGUAGAGAUGUGGAGGAACACCAGUGGCGAAGGCGACUUUCUGGUCUGUAACUGACGCUGAGGCGCGAAAGCGUGGGGAGCAAACAGGAUUAGAUACCCUGGUAGUCCACGCCGUAAACGAUGAGUGCUAAGUGUUAGGGGGUUUCCGCCCCUUAGUGCUGCAGCUAACGCAUUAAGCACUCCGCCUGGGGAGUACGGCCGCAAGGCUGAAACUUAAAGGAAUUGGCGGG